RNAcentral lists this ribosomal RNA (253 nucleotides) under uncultured bacterium. Its description in RNAcentral is "partial 16S ribosomal RNA". It matches the Rfam family "Bacterial small subunit ribosomal RNA", at positions 524 to 776 of the family's 1533-position model. The record is from RNAcentral.
UACGUAGGGCGCAAGCGUUGUCCGGAAUUAUUGGGCGUAAAGAGCUCGUAGGCGGUCUGUUGCGUCUGCCGUGAAAACCCGAGGCUUAACCUCGGGCCUGCGGUGGAUACGGGCAGACUAGAGGUAGGUAGGGGAGAACGGAAUUCCCGGUGUAGCGGUGAAAUGCGCAGAUAUCGGGAGGAACACCGGUGGCGAAGGCGGUUCUCUGGGCCUUACCUGACGCUGAGGAGCGAAAGCAUGGGGAGCGAACAGG